UGGGAAAUGCACUUAGACCUUGCUUCCAC
Molecule: non-coding RNA, 29 nt
Filed under: Mus musculus (house mouse)
Lineage: Eukaryota; Metazoa; Chordata; Mammalia; Rodentia; Muridae
Source: RNAcentral